Molecule: ribosomal RNA, 67 nt
Filed under: Heliobacterium mobile
Lineage: Bacteria; Bacillati; Bacillota; Clostridia; Eubacteriales; Heliobacteriaceae
Description: Heliobacillus mobilis partial 23S ribosomal RNA
Source: RNAcentral
UCGGCCCGAGAUGUACACGCCGUGAGGCGUUCAGUCGACGGGUACGAAUCGGUCGAGGACUUGACCU